GAUGAAGAACGCAGCGAAAUGCGAUAAGUAAUGUGAAUUGCAGAAUUCAGUGAAUCAUCGAAUCUUUGAACGCACCUUGCGCUCUUUGGCCAUUCCGAAGGGCAUGCCUGUUUGAGUAUCAUGAACACCUCAACUCUCAUGGCUCGCCAUGAUGAGCUUGGACUUUGGGGGUCUUGCUGGCCUGUGGUCGGCUCCUCUCAAAUGGAUCAGCUUGCCAGUGUUUGGUGGCAUCACAGGUGUGAUAACUAUCUGCGCUUGUGGUUUUCCAUCAGAUAACCUUCAGUGAUGGAGGUUCGCUGGAGCUCAUAAACGUCUCCCCUAAGCGGGGACAGCCCUUUGAAUGUUUGAUCUCAAAUCAGGUAGGACUACCCGCUGAACUUAAGCAUAUCAAUAAGCGGAGGA
RNAcentral lists this unclassified non-coding RNA (402 nucleotides) under soil metagenome. RNAcentral describes it as "partial contains 5.8S ribosomal RNA, internal transcribed spacer 2, and large subunit ribosomal RNA". The stretch from base 1 to 121 matches the Rfam family "5.8S ribosomal RNA", at positions 35 to 154 of the family's 154-position model. The record is from RNAcentral.